UUAAGUCUCUUGCCUUUUGGCUUAGAUCAAGUGUAGUAUCUGUUCUUCAUAGUUUAAUCGAAGCCACGCCUUCGGCGUGGGCUUCUUUGUCUCGGCCUCUGUUUACCUCCU
This 111-nucleotide small nuclear RNA is filed under the name Aureobasidium subglaciale EXF-2481. RNAcentral's name for it is "U2 spliceosomal RNA". It matches the Rfam family "U2 spliceosomal RNA". From Rfam's summary of the family: U2 is a small nuclear RNA (snRNA) component of the spliceosome (involved in pre-mRNA splicing). The record is from Rfam by way of RNAcentral. Lineage: Eukaryota; Fungi; Ascomycota; Dothideomycetes; Dothideales; Saccotheciaceae.